UACGGAGGGUGCGAGCGUUGUCCGGAAUCACUGGGCGUAAAGGGCGCGUAGGCGGCGCGGAUAGUCGGCGGUGAAAGCCCGGAGCUCAACUCCGGGUCGGCCGUCGAUACUUCCGGGCUUGAGCACUGUAGAGGCAGAUGGAAUUCCGGGUGGUAGCGGUGGAAUGCGUAGAGAUCCGGAAGAACACCGGUGGCGAAGGCGGUCUGCUGGGCAGUUGCUGACGCUGAUGCGCGACAGCGUGGGGAGCAAACAGG
Molecule: ribosomal RNA, 254 nt
Filed under: uncultured bacterium
Lineage: Bacteria
Description: partial 16S ribosomal RNA
Rfam family: Bacterial small subunit ribosomal RNA
Source: RNAcentral